AGCAGCCGCGGUAAUUCCAGCUCCAAUAGCGUAUAUUAAAGUUGUUGCAGUUAAAAAGCUCGUAGUUGAAUUUCGAGAUCAAUUUGUUGGUCGUGCCUCGGUACGUACUGGCAAUUUUGAUUUCUCCCUUCUGAAGAACCAUGAUGUCAUUAAUUUGGUGUCAUGGGGAAUCAGGACCGUUACUUUGAAAAAUUAGAGUGUUUAAAGCAGGCUCGCGCUUGAAUACAUUAGCAUGGAAUAAUGAAAUAGGACGUUUGAUUCUAUUUUGUUGGUUUCUAGGAUCGACGUAAUGAUUAAUAGGGAUUGUUGGGGGCAUUAGUAUUCAAUUGUCAGAGGUGAAAUUCUCGGAUUUAUUGAAGACUAACUACUGCGAAAGCAUUUGCCAAGGAUGUUUUCAUUAAUCAAGAACGAAAGUUAGGGGAUCGAAGACGAUCAGAUACCGUCGUAGUCUUAACCAUAAACUAUGCCGACUAGGGAUCGGAUGAUGUUAAUUUUUAAUGACUCAUUCGGC
Molecule: ribosomal RNA, 511 nt
Filed under: uncultured Glomus
Lineage: Eukaryota; Fungi; Glomeromycota; Glomeromycetes; Glomerales; Glomeraceae
Description: SSU rRNA
Rfam family: Eukaryotic small subunit ribosomal RNA
Source: RNAcentral